Long non-coding RNA from Humulus lupulus (European hop), 686 nucleotides. RefSeq lists it as uncharacterized. The transcript is spliced from 3 exons. NCBI's taxonomy places the organism in Eukaryota, Viridiplantae, Streptophyta, Magnoliopsida, Rosales, Cannabaceae. The record is from RefSeq and is a predicted model, not a curated record.
GUCGUUCGCUUGAGGAAGGAUAUCUUCCUCCAAUUACACUUGUUAUUGUUCAGAAAAGGCAUCAUACCCGCCUUUUCCCAGCUGAUUACAACAAUCGUGAUUCCAUGGACAAGAGUGGCAACAUUCAACCAGGCACUAUUGUUGAUACCCAAAUCUGCCACCCAACUGAGUUUGACUUCUACCUUAACAGUCAUGCUGGAAUUCAGGGAACCAGUCGGCCUACUCACUACCAUGUCUUGUUUGAUGAGAACAAUUUCCCUGCUGAUGCCUUGCAAGUUCUCACCAACAAUCUCUACUACACUUAAAUACUAUUCAUUUUCAUUUUUUGUUCUCCGAUUCCAACAUUCUAUUGUGAACUAAUUUUUUUGUUCCUGUUCUUGACCUGAUACAAGAAUUUAAGAGGCAUAAUGUUAUGUUUUUUUUUUUUGUAGGAUGGAAGGAGCAAUGUGCCAAGUACUCUCCUUACUCCACAUACUUUGAGGGCAGACUCAGCUCUGCCAUGCCCAACUCUGUGUACAACCAAAGUAACAACUCAGAAAAUGGAAACCAUUCUAACAUCAUCUGAACAGGUGGGCUUUUUAUUUCCCUUGUGCACACUAUAAAUGAUUAAUGGAAAGAUUGUAGUACUUUUAUUACUACAAAUUUUAUCUAUUAAGUGGUAGCUGCUAGAUCUGUUAUGGUUUUCU